GACAGAGGGUGCAAACGUUGUUCGGAAUUACUGGGCGUAAAGCGCGUGUAGGCGGCCAUCUAAGUCGGCGUGAAAUCCCACGGCUCAACCGUGGAAGUGCACUCGAAACUGGAUGGCUAGAGUCCUGGAGAGGAAGGUGGAAUGCUUGGUGUAGAGGUGAAAUUCGUAGAUAUCAAGCGGAACACCGGUGGCGAAGGCGGCGACCUGGUCCUUGACUGACGCUGAGGCGCGAAAGCGUGGGGAGCAAACAGG
This 252-nucleotide ribosomal RNA is filed under the name uncultured bacterium. RNAcentral's name for it is "partial 16S ribosomal RNA". It matches the Rfam family "Bacterial small subunit ribosomal RNA", at positions 524 to 776 of the family's 1533-position model. The record is from RNAcentral.